This 729-nucleotide long non-coding RNA is filed under the name Salmo salar (Atlantic salmon). RNAcentral describes it as "lncRNA (ENSSSAG00000107660.1)". The record is from RNAcentral. Lineage: Eukaryota; Metazoa; Chordata; Actinopteri; Salmoniformes; Salmonidae.
AGAUCAACUAAACAGUCCCUUUUACAGAUCAACUAAACAAUUCUACACUGCUAGAACACUCACUGGAAAUGUAAAUAAUCCCGAAAUCUACUGCUGUAGCUAAUGUACCGAACAAGGAAUUAAUAUUCUGUUAUGUAUAAAUAAUUCAUUGUCCAUGGUAGAGGUUAUAGUAGUAUAGAGAUGGUCGAGGUUAUAGUAGUAUAGAGAUGGUAGAGGUUAUAGUAGUAUAGAGAUGGUAGAGGUUAUAGUAGUAUAGAGAUGGUAGAGGUUAUAGUAGUAUAGAGAUGGUAGAGGUUAUAGUAGUAUAGAGAUGGUAGAGGUUAUAGUAGUAUAGAGAUGGUAGAGGUUAUAGUAGUACAGAGAUGGUAGAGGUUAUAGUAGUAUAGAGAUGGUAGAGGUUAUAGUAGUACAGAGAUGGUAGAGGUUAUAGUAGUACAGAGAUGGUAGAGGUUAUAGUAGUACAGAGAUGGUAGAGGUUAUAGUAGUACAGAGAUGGUCGAGGUUAUAGUAGUAUAGAGAUGGUAGAGGUUAUAGUAGUACAGAGAUGGUAGAGGUUAUAGUAGUACAGAGAUGGUAGAGGUUAUAGUAGUACAGAGAUGGUCGAGGUUAUAGUAGUACAGAGAUGGUCGAGGUUAUAGUAGUACAGAGAUGGUCGAGGUUAGUCAGCACUCUCACAGAAUGUUUCCGGCAGAGAAAUAUAAUCUAGAUUCUAUUUCUAUGGUCCCUGUU